Long non-coding RNA from Beta vulgaris subsp. vulgaris (sugar beet), 472 nucleotides. RefSeq lists it as uncharacterized. The transcript is spliced from 3 exons. The record is from RefSeq and is a predicted model, not a curated record. Lineage: Eukaryota; Viridiplantae; Streptophyta; Magnoliopsida; Caryophyllales; Amaranthaceae.
UGGGUGCAGUUGGCAAAUGGUUCUGUAGGAGUUGGCAGCUGCAAUAGGGUAGAGAAGUCCCCAAAUGAAUGUGAAGGUAGUCGCAUAGAAGUUAAUGUGGCUAAAGACUCCCCUACGAAAAAAACAAAACGGGCAGGUAGAAUUAAGUCAUGCGUUGAGAAGGCCAAGAAUGAGAAGGCGAAUAAUGAGAAGGGAAAGAAUGAUGAAGGGAAGAAUGCGGAAGCUAAGAAGAAACAGCAAGAAGCACCUAAGAAGGGGAAAGGCAAAGGAGUGAAACGCAAGGAGAACGCAGACCCCCCUCCUCAGGAUUUGGAGAACGUGAAUCCAUCAACACGUUUGGAGCUGCAGUUGUGGCCUACUAGUCAGGCUUACCAAUACAGAGACUUCUUCGACAAAGAAUGCUAGUUGAAACACUCGAAUGGUAGUUGGAAGAAUGGAUUGGUAGUUGAAACACUCGAAUGGAACUUCGAAC